RNAcentral lists this ribosomal RNA (330 nucleotides) under uncultured Bacillota bacterium. RNAcentral's name for it is "bacterial SSU rRNA". It matches the Rfam family "Bacterial small subunit ribosomal RNA", at positions 28 to 347 of the family's 1533-position model. Lineage: Bacteria; Bacillati; Bacillota. The record is from RNAcentral.
GACGAACGCUGGCGGCGUGCCUAAUACAUGCAAGUCGAGCGAAUCUUUUGGGAGCUUGCUCCCUUAAGGUUAGCGGCGGACGGGUGAGUAACACGUGGGUAACCUGCCUGUAAGACUGGGAUAACUUCGGGAAACCGGAGCUAAUACCGGAUAGUUUCUUUCUCGCAUGAGAAGAGAUGGAAAGAUGGUUUCGGCUAUCACUUACAGAUGGACCCGCGGCGCAUUAGCUAGUUGGUGAGGUAAUGGCUCACCAAGGCGACGAUGCGUAGCCGACCUGAGAGGGUGAUCGGCCACACUGGGACUGAGACACGGCCCAGACACCUACGGGUG